GGAUGCAUGAAAUAUGGGCACUCAGCUUGGCAACAACACAACAUCAACACAGUUUGGAGUUUCUUCAUGAGCUAGUCUCUCGUUUCAGACUGUGUUCCAAGACCUGGUGCCAGGAUUAGGUAUAACAUGUAUGAGUCCUGAUGCUGGAUGCUAGGAUUAGGUAUAACAUGUAUUAGACAGAUGCUGGAUGCCAGGAUUAGGUAUAACAUGUAUUAGUCCCGAUGCUGGAUGCCAGGAUUAGGUGUAACAUGUAUUAGACAGAUGCUGGAUGCCAGGAUUAGGUAUAACAUGUAUUAGACAGAUGCUGGAUGCUAGGAUUAGGUAUAACAUGUAUUAGACUGAUGCUGGAUGCCAGGAUUAGGUAUAACAUGUAUUAGACAGAUGCUGGAUGCCAGGAUUAGGUAUAACAUGUAUUAGACAGAUGCUGGAUGCCAGGAUUAGGUAUAAAAUGUAUUAGACUGAUGCUGGAUGCCAGGAUUCGUUUUUUACAAAUAACAUAAAAGUAUGCAAUUUUUCUGCAUCCUUGUAUCUAACUCUGCGAUAUAAUUAACCAAAAUCUACGCCCGCCUUUCCUGCGUUGCGUGACAUUCGCAGCCUACCCCACCAAUAAUUCUGCAUGUAUAAUACAGCGAAACAGUGAUUCUUUCUGUGUAUUUAGUAACACAAUGACUGCUGCCCCACCACAACACAUCAGCUUUAGGCAACAGCCUACAAGCAAAAUCUCAAUGUAGGUUAACGAGCUCCGUAGAGUUUAAAUGGACCGCUCGAUACAACACUGAUGAAUAAUAUGGACGAUACUGUGUUGUAGUCUACUUCGUAAACUAAUGCACACACUAUUCAAUUAAAUGUGGAUCGUCAGAUAGUCAUAUUUUGUAAUAUUGUUGUAUGGUGGUAUUAUACAUUUUGUAUUGUAGAUAUGUAGUGGUGUAAUAAUGUUAUAUGACGUACUGUUUUAUAUUUUGUUUAUUACUGUAUGUAAUGUAAGUGCCUUAAUGUGUUUGGACCCUAGAAGAGAAGCUGCUGCCUUGGCAAUGGCUAAUGGGGAUCCCUAAUAAAUACAAAUGUCUCCCGAGUGGUGCAGCGAUCUAAGGCACUCAGCGUCACUACAGACCCCGGUUCGAAUACAG
RNAcentral lists this long non-coding RNA (1127 nucleotides) under Salmo salar (Atlantic salmon). RNAcentral's name for it is "lncRNA (ENSSSAG00000086507.1)". Lineage: Eukaryota; Metazoa; Chordata; Actinopteri; Salmoniformes; Salmonidae. The record is from RNAcentral.